RNAcentral lists this ribosomal RNA (253 nucleotides) under uncultured bacterium. Its description in RNAcentral is "partial 16S ribosomal RNA". It matches the Rfam family "Bacterial small subunit ribosomal RNA", at positions 524 to 776 of the family's 1533-position model. The record is from RNAcentral.
UACAGAGGUCUCAAGCGUUGUUCGGAUUCACUGGGCGUAAAGGGUGCGUAGGUGGUGAGGUAAGUCGGAUGUGAAAUCUCCGGGCUCAACCCGGAAAUGGCAUUGGAAACUACCUUGCUUGAGGGUUUGAGGGGGGAUUGGAAUACUUGGUGUAGUAGUGAAAUGCGUAGAUAUCAAGUGGAACACCAGUGGCGAAGGCGAAUCCCUGGAAAAUACCUGACACUGAGGCACGAAAGCUAGGGGAGCAAACAGG